This 2902-nucleotide ribosomal RNA is filed under the name Escherichia coli. RNAcentral describes it as "bacterial LSU rRNA". It matches the Rfam family "Bacterial large subunit ribosomal RNA". Lineage: Bacteria; Pseudomonadati; Pseudomonadota; Gammaproteobacteria; Enterobacterales; Enterobacteriaceae. RNAcentral also lists the same sequence under 1 other name. The record is from RNAcentral.
UUAAGCGACUAAGCGUACACGGUGGAUGCCCUGGCAGUCAGAGGCGAUGAAGGACGUGCUAAUCUGCGAUAAGCGUCGGUAAGGUGAUAUGAACCGUUAUAACCGGCGAUUUCCGAAUGGGGAAACCCAGUGUGAUUCGUCACACUAUCAUUAACUGAAUCCAUAGGUUAAUGAGGCGAACCGGGGGAACUGAAACAUCUAAGUACCCCGAGGAAAAGAAAUCAACCGAGAUUCCCCCAGUAGCGGCGAGCGAACGGGGAGGAGCCCAGAGCCUGAAUCAGUGUGUGUGUUAGUGGAAGCGUCUGGAAAGGCGCGCGAUACAGGGUGACAGCCCCGUACACAAAAAUGCACAUGCUGUGAGCUCGAUGAGUAGGGCGGGACACGUGGUAUCCUGUCUGAAUAUGGGGGGACCAUCCUCCAAGGCUAAAUACUCCUGACUGACCGAUAGUGAACCAGUACCGUGAGGGAAAGGCGAAAAGAACCCCGGCGAGGGGAGUGAAAAAGAACCUGAAACCGUGUACGUACAAGCAGUGGGAGCACGCUUAGGCGUGUGACUGCGUACCUUUUGUAUAAUGGGUCAGCGACUUAUAUUCUGUAGCAAGGUUAACCGAAUAGGGGAGCCGAAGGGAAACCGAGUCUUAACUGGGCGUUAAGUUGCAGGGUAUAGACCCGAAACCCGGUGAUCUAGCCAUGGGCAGGUUGAAGGUUGGGUAACACUAACUGGAGGACCGAACCGACUAAUGUUGAAAAAUUAGCGGAUGACUUGUGGCUGGGGGUGAAAGGCCAAUCAAACCGGGAGAUAGCUGGUUCUCCCCGAAAGCUAUUUAGGUAGCGCCUCGUGAAUUCAUCUCCGGGGGUAGAGCACUGUUUCGGCAAGGGGGUCAUCCCGACUUACCAACCCGAUGCAAACUGCGAAUACCGGAGAAUGUUAUCACGGGAGACACACGGCGGGUGCUAACGUCCGUCGUGAAGAGGGAAACAACCCAGACCGCCAGCUAAGGUCCCAAAGUCAUGGUUAAGUGGGAAACGAUGUGGGAAGGCCCAGACAGCCAGGAUGUUGGCUUAGAAGCAGCCAUCAUUUAAAGAAAGCGUAAUAGCUCACUGGUCGAGUCGGCCUGCGCGGAAGAUGUAACGGGGCUAAACCAUGCACCGAAGCUGCGGCAGCGACGCUUAUGCGUUGUUGGGUAGGGGAGCGUUCUGUAAGCCUGUGAAGGUGUGCUGUGAGGCAUGCUGGAGGUAUCAGAAGUGCGAAUGCUGACAUAAGUAACGAUAAAGCGGGUGAAAAGCCCGCUCGCCGGAAGACCAAGGGUUCCUGUCCAACGUUAAUCGGGGCAGGGUGAGUCGACCCCUAAGGCGAGGCCGAAAGGCGUAGUCGAUGGGAAACAGGUUAAUAUUCCUGUACUUGGUGUUACUGCGAAGGGGGGACGGAGAAGGCUAUGUUGGCCGGGCGACGGUUGUCCCGGUUUAAGCGUGUAGGCUGGUUUUCCAGGCAAAUCCGGAAAAUCAAGGCUGAGGCGUGAUGACGAGGCACUACGGUGCUGAAGCAACAAAUGCCCUGCUUCCAGGAAAAGCCUCUAAGCAUCAGGUAACAUCAAAUCGUACCCCAAACCGACACAGGUGGUCAGGUAGAGAAUACCAAGGCGCUUGAGAGAACUCGGGUGAAGGAACUAGGCAAAAUGGUGCCGUAACUUCGGGAGAAGGCACGCUGAUAUGUAGGUGAAGUCCCUCGCGGAUGGAGCUGAAAUCAGUCGAAGAUACCAGCUGGCUGCAACUGUUUAUUAAAAACACAGCACUGUGCAAACACGAAAGUGGACGUAUACGGUGUGACGCCUGCCCGGUGCCGGAAGGUUAAUUGAUGGGGUCAGCGCAAGCGAAGCUCUUGAUCGAAGCCCCGGUAAACGGCGGCCGUAACUAUAACGGUCCUAAGGUAGCGAAAUUCCUUGUCGGGUAAGUUCCGACCUGCACGAAUGGCGUAAUGAUGGCCAGGCUGUCUCCACCCGAGACUCAGUGAAAUUGAACUCGCUGUGAAGAUGCAGUGUACCCGCGGCAAGACGGAAAGACCCCGUGAACCUUUACUAUAGCUUGACACUGAACAUUGAGCCUUGAUGUGUAGGAUAGGUGGGAGGCUUAGAAGUGUGGACGCCAGUCUGCAUGGAGCCGACCUUGAAAUACCACCCUUUAAUGUUUGAUGUUCUAACGUUGACCCGUAAUCCGGGUUGCGGACAGUGUCUGGUGGGUAGUUUGACUGGGGCGGUCUCCUCCUAAAGAGUAACGGAGGAGCACGAAGGUUGGCUAAUCCUGGUCGGACAUCAGGAGGUUAGUGCAAUGGCAUAAGCCAGCUUGACUGCGAGCGUGACGGCGCGAGCAGGUGCGAAAGCAGGUCAUAGUGAUCCGGUGGUUCUGAAUGGAAGGGCCAUCGCUCAACGGAUAAAAGGUACUCCGGGGAUAACAGGCUGAUACCGCCCAAGAGUUCAUAUCGACGGCGGUGUUUGGCACCUCGAUGUCGGCUCAUCACAUCCUGGGGCUGAAGUAGGUCCCAAGGGUAUGGCUGUUCGCCAUUUAAAGUGGUACGCGAGCUGGGUUUAGAACGUCGUGAGACAGUUCGGUCCCUAUCUGCCGUGGGCGCUGGAGAACUGAGGGGGGCUGCUCCUAGUACGAGAGGACCGGAGUGGACGCAUCACUGGUGUUCGGGUUGUCAUGCCAAUGGCACUGCCCGGUAGCUAAAUGCGGAAGAGAUAAGUGCUGAAAGCAUCUAAGCACGAAACUUGCCCCGAGAUGAGUUCUCCCUGACUCCUUGAGAGUCCUGAAGGAACGUUGAAGACGACGACGUUGAUAGGCCGGGUGUGUAAGCGCAGCGAUGCGUUGAGCUAACCGGUACUAAUGAACCGUGAGGCUUAACCUU